Molecule: ribosomal RNA, 497 nt
Filed under: uncultured bacterium
Lineage: Bacteria
Description: partial 16S ribosomal RNA
Rfam family: Bacterial small subunit ribosomal RNA
Source: RNAcentral
GACGAACGCUGGCGGCGUGCCUAAUACAUGCAAGUCGAGCGAACAGACGAGGAGCUUGCUCCUCGGACGUUAGCGGCGGACGGGUGAGUAACACGUGGAUAACCUACCUAUAAGACUGGGAUAACUUCGGGAAACCGGAGCUAAUACCGGAUAAUAUAUUGAACCACAUGGUUCAAUAGUGAAAGACGGUUUUGCUGUCACUAAUAGAUGGAUCCGCGCCGCAUUAGCUAGUUGGUAAGGUAACGGCCUACCAAGGCAACGAAGCGUAGCCGACCUGAGAGGGUGGUAGGCCACACUGGAGGGGAGACACGGUCCAUACUCCUACGGGAGGCAGCAGUCGGGAAUCUUCGGCAAUGGGGGAAAGCCUUACGGAGCAACGCGGCGUGAGUGAUGAAGGUGUUCGGAUCGGAAAACUCUGUUAUUAGGGAAAAACAAAUGUGGAAUUAACUGUGCACGUAGUGACGGUACCUAAUCAGAAAGCCACGGCUAACUACGUG